Molecule: ribosomal RNA, 261 nt
Filed under: Triticum aestivum (bread wheat)
Lineage: Eukaryota; Viridiplantae; Streptophyta; Magnoliopsida; Poales; Poaceae
Description: partial small subunit ribosomal RNA
Source: RNAcentral
UGCAAUCGUCUUGUCGUUAACUCUGACAAUAUGGAGGUGAUUGACACAAUGAAAAAUGAAGGACAUUCGGCGGCAGCGGCGACAACAGUGUUCGAUGAUUGCUAUUUCUUAGCUGGUGAUUUUCCUCUUAGGUUCGAACAUUGUAAUUGGGAAGCUAAUAAGGUGGCUCAUGAACUUGCUAGGCUAGCGAAAUUUUCCAUCACUAGGGAUUGGUUUGAGGAAUGUAUGAGUGUUAUUAUACCUUUCCUAAUCGAGAUGUAA